Small nucleolar RNA from Impatiens glandulifera, 123 nucleotides. The record is from RefSeq and is a predicted model, not a curated record. NCBI's taxonomy places the organism in Eukaryota, Viridiplantae, Streptophyta, Magnoliopsida, Ericales, Balsaminaceae.
AUCCCAGCUAGAUUUUGUUUGUAUUUGUCUGAUUCAUGGGAGGCCAAUAUUAACGCUGGGAGUUCGCUGUAAACACCUUUUGUUAUUUUAUAAGGUGUUUUGAUAGUAUCUCACCAUAAAUAG